Molecule: ribosomal RNA, 253 nt
Filed under: uncultured bacterium
Lineage: Bacteria
Description: partial 16S ribosomal RNA
Rfam family: Bacterial small subunit ribosomal RNA
Source: RNAcentral
UACGGGGGGGGCAAGCGUUGUUCGGAAUUACUGGGCGUAAAGGGCGCGUAGGCGGCUCGUCAAGUCGGGCGUGAAAUCUCCGGGCUUAACCCGGAAAAGUCGUUCGAUACUGUUGAGCUAGAGUGUGGAAGAGGCUACUGGAAUUUACGGUGUAGCAGUGAAAUGCGUAGAUAUCGUAAGGAAGACCAGUGGCGAAGGCGAGUCUCUGGACAGUUACUGACGCUGAGGCACGAAGGCCAGGGGAGCAAACGGG